Molecule: ribosomal RNA, 253 nt
Filed under: uncultured bacterium
Lineage: Bacteria
Description: partial 16S ribosomal RNA
Rfam family: Bacterial small subunit ribosomal RNA
Source: RNAcentral
UACAGAGGGCUCAAGCGUUGUUCGGAUUCAUUGGGCGUAAAGGGUGCGUAGGCGGCGCGGUAAGUCGGGUGUGAAAUUUCGAGGCUUAACUUCGAAACUGCAUUCGAUACUGCCGUGCUUGAGGACUGGAGAGGAGACUGGAAUUUACGGUGUAGCGGUGAAAUGCGUAGAUAUCGUAAGGAAGACCAGUGGCGAAGGCGGGUCUCUGGACAGCUCCUGACGCUGAGGCACGAAGGCCAGGGGAGCAAACGGG